GACGAACGCUGGCGGCGUGCUUAACACAUGCAAGUCGAACGGAAAGGCCCUGCUUUGGUGGGGUGCUCGAGUGGCGAACGGGUGAGUAACACGUGAGUAACCUGCCCUUGACUUUGGGAUAACUUCAGGAAACUGGGGCUAAUACCGGAUAGGAGCUCCUGCUGCAUGGUGGGGGUUGGAAAGUUUCGGCGGUUGGGGAUGGACUCGCGGCUUAUCAGCUUGUUGGUGGGGUAGUGGCUUACCAAGGCUUUGACGGGUAGCCGGCCUGAGAGGGUGACCGGCCACAUUGGGACUGAGAUACGGCCCAGACUCCUACGGGAGGCAGCAGUGGGGAAUAUUGCACAAUGGGCGGAAGCCUGAUGCAGCAACGCCGCGUGCGGGAUGACGGCCUUAGGGUUGUAAACCGCUUUCGCCUGUGACGAAGCGUGAGUGACGGUAAUGGGUAAAGAAGCACCGGCUAACUACGUG
RNAcentral lists this ribosomal RNA (468 nucleotides) under uncultured bacterium. Its description in RNAcentral is "partial 16S ribosomal RNA". It matches the Rfam family "Bacterial small subunit ribosomal RNA", at positions 28 to 507 of the family's 1533-position model. The record is from RNAcentral.